CAUGCAUGUCUCAGUACAAGCCAAAUUAAGGUGAAACCGCGAAAGGCUCAUUAAAUCAGUUAUGGUUCCUUAGAUCGUACCCACAUUUACUUGGAUAACUGUGGUAAUUCUAGAGCUAAUACAUGCAAACAGAGCUCCGACCGACACGGAAGGAGCGCUUUUAUUAGAACAAAACCAAUCGGUGUUGGGUUUCGGCCCGUCAUCGUACAACCUGGUGACUCUGAAUAACUUUAAGCUGAUCGCACGGUCUCGCACCGGCGACGCAUCUUUCAAAUGUCUGCCUUAUCAACUGUCGAUGGUAGGUUCUGCGCCUACCAUGGUCGUAACGGGUAACGGGGAAUCAGGGUUCGAUUCCGGAGAGGGAGCCUGAGAAACGGCUACCACAUCCAAGGAAGGCAGCAGGCGCGCAAAUUACCCACUCCCGGCACGGGGAGGUAGUGACGAAAAAUAACGAUACGGGACUCAUCCGAGGCCCCGUAAUCGGAAUGAGUACACUCUAAACCCUUUAACGAGGAUCAAUUGGAGGGCAAGUCUGGUGCCAGCAGCCGCGGUAAUUCCAGCUCCAAUAGCGUAUAUUAAAGUUGUUGCGGUUAAAAAGCUCGUAGUCGAAUUUGUGUCCCGCGCCGCCGGUUCAUCGUCCGCGGUGUCAACUGGCGUGUCGCGGGACGUCCUGCCGGUGGGCUUAGCUCGCAAGGGCGGCCCAACUCAAUCCCGCCGCGGUGCUCUUCAUCGAGUGUCGAGGUGGGCCGGCACGUUUACUUUGAACAAAUUAGAGUGCUUAAAGCAGGCUAAAACUUCGCCUGAAUACUGUGUGCAUGGAAUAAUGGAAUAGGACCUCGGUUCUAUUUUGUUGGUUUUCGGAACCCCGAGGUAAUGAUUAAUAGGAACGGAUGGGGGCAUUCGUAUUGCGACGUUAGAGGUGAAAUUCUUGGAUCGUCGCAAGACGGACAGAAGCGAAAGCAUUUGCCAAAAACGCUUUCAUUGAUCAAGAACGAAA
This 997-nucleotide ribosomal RNA is filed under the name Isoclerus sp. DDM0733. Its description in RNAcentral is "SSU rRNA". It matches the Rfam family "Eukaryotic small subunit ribosomal RNA", at positions 50 to 988 of the family's 1831-position model. Lineage: Eukaryota; Metazoa; Arthropoda; Insecta; Coleoptera; Thanerocleridae. The record is from RNAcentral.